UGCCACAUCACCUCUCUCUCUCCCCACGCAUUUCUUCCUCUCGACAGCCCUCCUUCCACUGCUCCCCAUCGCCUCGUCGACAGCCUACAAUGCCGCCAUCGCCCUCGGCCGUCGCGCAGCAGCACCACAUCCCCGUUCGACCAUGCUCCUCUGCCGCCGUCGAUUCACCUCGCCGGUUGAUCGGCGAUGCCUCCGGCCAGCCCACUUCCCCGCAGCACACGCUGGCCUCGGCCCUGCUCCCCGCGCUGCCUCCCCGCAUCGCGCCUCCGCCCUAGCCCCGACACGGCGCGGCCGCCCUCGACCUCCAGCUGCGCCGCCGCCUCCCUCGACCCCAACACUGUCGCUGUCCUCGAUCUCCCGUGCCGCCGCCGCCACCUCCCCGUCUACAUCCCAUGCUCCGACCUCGGCCCUCGCCGCGGCGCCGCCGUCCCGCGUUGGGGGCCGCUGCCAUUGCGCGCCCGGCCGCACCUCGCGGCCGUCGCCCACCAUGCCCCGCGCUGCCCGACUGCACCUCGCCGUCGCCGCCCACCUUCCUCCCCGCCUCCUCUCGCUGCCCCACCCUCGGUCGCCGCCGCUUCGAUCAUGUUGUUGCUUCGCCGCGCCGCUGCGCGCCCAUCUCGCCCCGCGCCCCUGCCGCGCCAUCCCUAGCCGACGCGCGGCCCCGCAACAUGGUGACACGCCUCGCCUCUCCCCCACCGGCGGUGCCCCAUCUCCUUUGGGAGAUGCAGGUGCUAUUGUGGGGAAAAAUUAGGAGACCAAAGGAAGAAGAUGAGAUGAGGAAAAUGAUGGCCACUGACAUGUGGGUCCCACUAGUCGGUGUGAUAGCAAAACUAAAUAGGGGCUGAUAUUUAGGGGUUAUUGCUGAAGAUUGAGUUGAAGUAGGGGCCUUGGGAUCUCUGCUGCUCCAACCUCAGGUGAAAGCUCCUUUGCUCCCAGAUGUACUGCGCAAUGACUUAAUUGCUACUGCUAUUUGGUAUAUUUGGGGGGAGCGUCGUCAGGCUACACAUGGAGAGAAAGUUCAAACUCCGGCUAGGUCGGCACAGGCUAUUUCGAUUCCUGCCUCUAAUUAUUCGAGGGCAAAGAAGAAGGUGUAUGUGGGUAUAGAGAGGCACGGAUGGCAGAAGCCUAAGGAAGAUUUUGUCAAAUAAAAUGUUGAUGCGGCUUCUGCUGUCGAUACAGGGGGUGGUGGUACAGGCGCCAUUAUCCGCGACGACCAUGGUUUCUUUGUGGCGGUUGCGAAAUGCCAAUUCCAAUUUGUUGAGGACGCGGCCACUGUGGAGGCGAUGGCCCUUCGGGAUGGUCUAGCUCUUGCGGAGUCUGUUGGGUGCAACCGAAUUGUCGUCAACUCGGACUGCAUGGAGGUGAUUGAAGUGAUGAAGAGAGGUGGUAAUUCGCUUGGCCUUGCGGUGGCCAUCUUUGAAGAUUGUUUCUUUACUUGUCUUAAUUUUGAGUCAGCGUGUGUGAGCAUUGUCUUAGAUAGUCUAAUAGGACAGCACAUCUUGUUGCUAGUAGGGCCGUUGGUCCUGUAGAGUGUGUUUGGCAGUCGGACCCUCCGACUUUUUCUUAGAUGCAAUCAUUGACGAUGUAACUAUUUUUGCAAAACAAUAAAAUCAGGCACGAUAGCAUUCCUUAAAAAAAAAGUUGAAGCAGAGGCUGAAAAAUUUAAGUAGAAACCUGUCAGCAGUGCCCUACGCCCCUACCCGACCGCGCAAAGCCAGGACCGCAGGUCGCUAAUUUUGUACGGCGGCGGCGGCCCGCGCCAUUCCACGAGACCACGACUGCCUUUGCUCCUUCUCCGAGAUUGCAGGUGCCUUUUGGGCAUCAAAGCAAAUCGCAAGUGACUAAUGGAGGCAUACAAGUAUGUUUACUGUGUCUUGUUGUCACUAUGGACAGAGAAGGGUCCAAGUUCUAGCAUGGCUCCAGCUCCAAAGGAUGAACAGCCAGAUAAUCUUGCAAGCCAUUAUGCACUGAAGGACUGGUAGUGCCGUUGUUCAUAGAGGCAUGCUGUUUUUCUGGAACAUAUUUCGUGGAUAUGUUCAGUUGAUCAAACUCAAGAGGGUGUUUGGGAUUGUCGCCAGUAGUUGUGUUUGCCACACUGAUGCAGAACAAGGACGAAAGUACUAGUAGUCCUCUUUUCAUCUUGAUAGGAAGCGUGUGCAUGGGUGCUUGGUGUCUUGUGCUCUGUUGCCAUUGGCUAAUAUUUAUAUAUAGGGAAGACAUUCUGUUUUCAGCACAGUUGUGGGAGUCCUCUAAGGAAACCAUAAUAUGAUUGAUUCUUUGACUUUUUCCCUCCAAGUUGGACCUAAAAGGCUCCUAAUAUUCUCUCUUUCUCUUGGCAUCUAUGUUUGUGUUGUCAUUUGUCAAUGGUGUUCAUUGUUCAAUUAAACUGUUAGUUCCUUUUCGUCGACUGUGAUAUAACAAAAUCAGGAUGAUUCCCCAACAGCUAUCUCCAGCUCAAUUAUGGUCUUUAUGAGGGGACAACAAAUAAAUAAGGGCCAUAUUGAGGGUGUUUCAUCUAUCACAAAGUGUUGUCCACAUCAUGGUGGCAUUUGAUCUUCUUAUUUUCUUUAUUUAUUUUAGAACAAUAGCAGGAGCUUCUACCUUUCAUCAAAGGCGAUCUCAUUUUCUUACUACCAUUCGCCCUCAUAAGCUUCUUGUAUACUCAACCGUAUCCUGCCAAGAUUCUCAGGAACCUUUACCUUUAAUUUGCUUUUCUGCCUUGUUAUGUUCCAACCCAAUGGAUUGCAUAUUUGAACUGCAUUCAUUGCUUCUGCUGUUUAUCUUUCAAUGUUUGUACUGUGUGACAUUGUGUAAACUGAAAAACCAUUUGCUUGCUUAAUUGUCCCAUAAAGCUGGAUGAAAUGCAUAAUUUAAACUCGUGUACUUCAUCUAGUUCUGACUUAAUGCAACUAGUCAUCAUCAUGUAUACAUUAUAUUAUGUCAUAUUUCUGUGUGGCUACCCCUGCUGGCCACUUUACUUCAGGCUUACUUUUGUUGAUCAGAAAAGACAUUUAGGCACAACUUUUACUUCUGGUUUGAAGGAUAUAUACAACCGAAUCACAAUGCUGAUGCAUGAUAUUACUGCAUUUUCAGCAUUGACUUUCCCCUGAAAUCAAGGAAACCGGUUGAUCUCAUUGCUCAAAGAGGAACUAGAUUGAAAUAUGUGCGCACACUUUUGAGGAGUUGAGGUGUGACUUUGAAGCAAGACGCCCUUUCAAUCUGGAACUUUUCCUUGGAAAAGUAGAUUGUAGAUACCAAACUUAAGCAGUGAGCAUAGAACAAUCUUUCACCAACACUUACUGAUAACAUUUACUGCUGACAGCAGCCCCCUCCUCUGUGAGAAAAAACUUGGAAAAUACAUUCUUUUAGGGAACAAAGGUUAUAGGUCCUGGUUA
This is a long non-coding RNA of Brachypodium distachyon (stiff brome), 3395 nucleotides long. RefSeq lists it as uncharacterized. Lineage: Eukaryota; Viridiplantae; Streptophyta; Magnoliopsida; Poales; Poaceae. The record is from RefSeq and is a predicted model, not a curated record. The transcript has 5 exons.